GCCCGGCUAGCUCAAUCGGUAGAGCGUGAGACUCUUAAGCAAGAGAUCACAUCUCAAGGUUGUGGGUUCGACCCCCACGUCGGGCU
RNAcentral lists this transfer RNA (86 nucleotides) under Plectosphaerella plurivora. RNAcentral describes it as "Plectosporium sp. AC-2010b tRNA". It matches the Rfam family "tRNA". From Rfam's summary of the family: Transfer RNA (tRNA) molecules are approximately 80 nucleotides in length. Their secondary structure includes four short double-helical elements and three loops (D, anti-codon, and T loops). The record is from Rfam by way of RNAcentral. Lineage: Eukaryota; Fungi; Ascomycota; Sordariomycetes; Glomerellales; Plectosphaerellaceae.